CCCCUAGAUGUUCUGGGCCGCACGCGCGCUACACUGAACAGUUCAACAAGUCUUAACCUUGGCCGAUAGGUCUGGGUAAUCUUUGAACGCUGUUCGUGAUUGGGAUAGACCUUUGCAAUUAUGGGUCUUCAACGAGGAAUUCCUAGUAAACGCAAGUCAUCAGCUUGCAUUGAUUACGUCCCUGCCCUUUGUACACACCGCCCGUCGCACCUACCGAUUGAAUGGUCCGGUGAAGCCUCGGGAUUGUGGUUGGUUUCCUUUAUUGGAGAUUGAUUGCGAGAACUUGUCUAAACCUUAUCAUUUAGAGGAAGGUGAAGUCGUAACA
This 325-nucleotide ribosomal RNA is filed under the name uncultured eukaryote. RNAcentral's name for it is "partial 18S ribosomal RNA". It matches the Rfam family "Eukaryotic small subunit ribosomal RNA", at positions 1470 to 1796 of the family's 1831-position model. The record is from RNAcentral.